This 484-nucleotide ribosomal RNA is filed under the name uncultured bacterium. Its description in RNAcentral is "partial 16S ribosomal RNA". It matches the Rfam family "Bacterial small subunit ribosomal RNA", at positions 29 to 507 of the family's 1533-position model. The record is from RNAcentral.
AUUGAACGCUGGCGGCAUGCUUUACACAUGCAAGUCGAACGGCAGCGCGGGCUUCGGCCUGGCGGCGAGUGGCGAACGGGUGAGUAAUACAUCGGAACGUGCCCAGUAGUGGGGGAUAGCUCGGCGAAAGCCGGAUUAAUACCGCAUACGACCUGAGGGUGAAAGCGGGGGAUCUUCGGACCUCGCGCUCUUGGAGCGGCCGGUGGCAGAUUAGCUAGUUGGUGGGGUAAAGGCCUCCCAAGGCGACGACCUGUAGCUGGUGUGAGAGGACGACCAGCCACACUGGGACUGAGACACGGCCCAGACUCCUACGGGAGGCAGCAGUGGGGAAUUUUGGACAAUGGGCGAAAGCCUGAUCCAGCAAUGCCGCGUGUGUGAUGAAGGCCUUCGGGUUGUAAAGCACUUUUGGCGGGAACGAAAAGGAAUGUGCCAAUACCACGGUUCGAUGACGGUACCCGCAGAAUAAGCACCGGCUAACUACGUG